AGUGAACGCUGGCGGUAGGCCUAACACAUGCAAGUCGAACGGCAGCACAGUAAGAGCUUGCUCUUACGGUUGGCGAGUGGCGGACGGGUGAGGAAUACAUCGGAAUCUACUUUUUCGUGGGGGAUAACGUAGGGAAACUUACGCUAAUACCGCAUACGACCUACGGGUGAAAGCAGUGGAUCUUCGGACCUUUCGCGAUUGAAUGAGCCGAUGUCGGAUUAGCUAGUUGGCGGGGUAAAGGCCCACCAAGGCGACGAUACGUAGCUGGUCUGAGAGGAUGAUCAGCCACACUGGAACUGGGACACGGUCCAGACUCCUACGGGAGGCAGCAGUGGGGAAUCUUGGACAAUGGGCGCAAGCCUGAUCCAGCCAUACCGCGUGGGUGAAGAAGGCCUUCGGGUUGUAAAGCCCUUUUGUUGGGAAAGAAAAGCAGCAGGUUAAUACCCCGCUGUUCUGACGGUACCCAAAGAAUAAGCACCGGCUAACUUCGUG
RNAcentral lists this ribosomal RNA (492 nucleotides) under uncultured bacterium. RNAcentral describes it as "partial 16S ribosomal RNA". It matches the Rfam family "Bacterial small subunit ribosomal RNA", at positions 29 to 507 of the family's 1533-position model. The record is from RNAcentral.